RNAcentral lists this ribosomal RNA (253 nucleotides) under uncultured bacterium. RNAcentral's name for it is "partial 16S ribosomal RNA". It matches the Rfam family "Bacterial small subunit ribosomal RNA", at positions 524 to 776 of the family's 1533-position model. The record is from RNAcentral.
UACGAAGGGAGCUAGCGUUGCUCGGAAUCACUGGGCGUAAAGCGCACGUAGGCGGCUUCUUAAGUCAGGGGUGAAAUCCUGGGGCUCAACCCCAGAACUGCACUUGAUACUGAGGAGCUUGAGUGCGGGAGAGGUGAGUGGAACUCCGAGUGUAGAGGUGAAAUUCGUAGAUAUUCGGAAGAACACAAGUGGCGAAGGCGGCUCACUGGCCCGGUACUGACGCUGAGGUGCGAAAGCGUGGGGAGCAAACAGG